CGUCCGGAGGCUGAAAUACGCGUCCUGUUCGGACCUCUUGGCGCCUCGACGGAAAAAACAGGAAACGUUGCUAGAGGGAGGUGGCGGGGGGAGCUUCAACUCUCCCCUCUCCUCCUCCUCCCGGGCAACACCGCACUGACCUCAGAUCAGGCAAGACUACCCGCUGAGUUUAAGCAUAUCACUAAGCGGAGGA
Molecule: ribosomal RNA, 193 nt
Filed under: Marchantia polymorpha (common liverwort)
Lineage: Eukaryota; Viridiplantae; Streptophyta; Marchantiopsida; Marchantiales; Marchantiaceae
Description: partial 26S ribosomal RNA
Rfam family: Eukaryotic large subunit ribosomal RNA (bases 137-193)
Source: RNAcentral